AUUGAACGCUGGCGGCAGGCCUAACACAUGCAAGUCGAACGAGUGGCGGACGGGUGAGUAAUGUCUGGGAAACUGCCUGAUGGAGGGGGAUAACUACUGGAAACGGUAGCUAAUACCGCAUACCAUCAGAUGUGCCCAGAUGGGAUGAGCUUGUUGGUGGGGUAAGGGCUCACCAGGGCGACGAUCCCUAGCUGGUCUGAGAGGAUGACCAGCCCCACGGGAAAUGCGCAUCGGUCCAGACUCCUACGGGAGGCAGCAGUGGUGAAUAUUGCACAAUGGGCGCAAGCCUGAUGCAGCCAUGCCGCGGGUAUGAAGAAGGCUUUCUGGUUGUAAAGUACUUUCAGCGGGGAGGCGUUACCCGCAGAAGAAGCACCGGCUAACUCCGUGCCAGCAGCCGCGGUAAUAC
RNAcentral lists this ribosomal RNA (406 nucleotides) under uncultured bacterium. RNAcentral describes it as "partial 16S ribosomal RNA". It matches the Rfam family "Bacterial small subunit ribosomal RNA", at positions 30 to 526 of the family's 1533-position model. The record is from RNAcentral.